This 710-nucleotide ribosomal RNA is filed under the name uncultured Boletaceae. RNAcentral describes it as "eukaryotic LSU rRNA". The stretch from base 178 to 332 matches the Rfam family "5.8S ribosomal RNA". The record is from RNAcentral. Lineage: Eukaryota; Fungi; Basidiomycota; Agaricomycetes; Boletales; Boletaceae.
UUGGAGGCUGUCGCUGGCUGGCAUAAAGCAUGUGCACGUCUCUUUCUCUUUCUCUACCUUUCUCUUUCUCACACACACACCCACCUUUGUGCAUCCAUUGUAGGCCCUCGAAAGGGGAUCUAUGUUUUAACUUAUCACCCAGUUGUAUGUCCAUAGAAUGUAUCCAAUAUUUUAUACAACUUUCAGCAACGGAUCUCUUGGCUCUCGCAUCGAUGAAGAACGCAGCGAAUUGCGAUAAGUAAUGUGAAUUGCAGAUUUUCAGUGAAUCAUCGAAUCUUUGAACGCACCUUGCGCCCCUUGGUAUUCCGAGGAGCAUGCCUGUUUGAGUGUCAUUGAAUUCUCAACCAUGCCUUGAUUGAUUUUGUGGUGUGGCUUGGAAAUUGGAAGUUGCCGGCGUUGAGAAAUCUUGUCGGCUCUUCUGAAAUUUAUUAGUGAUGGAUGGCAACAAGUCUAUACAUGCACGGUCUUUCGACGUGAUAAUGAUCGUUGUGGGCUGGAGUGGGAAUGGCUUUUGCCCAUUUGCUUCCAACAUUUUGGAAGACUCUUUGACUUUUGUUUCAGCUCGUAAAUGUUAGCUACUAGUUGGUCGCAAGACUAGCGAAUGCAACAGAAGCUUGCUUGAUCAAAGGUCUUUGGUCUACAACUUUUGAUGACUUGACCUCAAAUCAGGUAGGAACUACCCGCUGAACUUAAGCAUAUCAAUAAGCGGA